RNAcentral lists this long non-coding RNA (1939 nucleotides) under Homo sapiens (human). Its description in RNAcentral is "non-protein coding lnc-SERPINB6-1:7". Lineage: Eukaryota; Metazoa; Chordata; Mammalia; Primates; Hominidae. The record is from RNAcentral.
GUGAUGCCCACGUGCCACAGAGUUAUUGCCCGAAGUGCCAGUGGGCUGUGCAGGGGAUGGGCUCUUCCUUCCAGAUGGUCUGCAGCCUCUGGGACCACGCAGCCACCAUCCCCUUUCUUUCUUCUUCGGAUGCAAUUUCAGGAGCAAAGCUGAUCUGAGGGGCAAGGACUUUAAAUCCACAGAAGUGUAAUGUGCCAUGCUAAAGCCACAGGGGAAGAAAAGAACUCAUUAGAAACUACACCUGUUACAUACCAUUCAGUUAAAUGAUUUAAGGGGGGAAAUGGUGUGAAACAAACCUUCAAAAAAUCAUGAAACAACCUUAAUGUUACAGGCAACUGAAAGCUAAACUUCCCUAUGGCUUUAGGACACAGCCUUGCAUAAGAGCCGUGAAGAACUUGGGGCAGUUGCAAUUUCCAAGCUCUAUUUUUAUAACUGCAAUUAACCUACAAUCUUUGCAACUGAUUCAGAUGCCAAACAUUAUAGUUCUGCUUGAUUGGGCAAAUUAUGGUACAUUCACACUAUAGAUACAGAAAAGGGGUGACGCGUGCAUUUUCCCAGCAAACUCCCUACCCCUCAAGAACGAGCUCUCCCCCUGUCUCGACAAACCUCCCUUAAACAACCUGGAAGAACAGUUGACCCCUAGGUUUCUGGGUUCCCUGGAGCCCCUGACCUGGAGUCUGCUCCCCACUCCCUCCCUCUGCCACCCCUCACCAGGGGUUCCUUCGUGGGACACCCCAGCACGUUGGAACUGCUCUGCCCACCACCUUCCCUUUGGCAGGUGGCCACUACUCGGCCACAUUUCAGGCCCAGGGACACUCACGCAGGCACCAAGAGGUCCCCUGGGGAAGCAGGCCUGGGAGGGGCCUGCGGCUACAGCUCUGUCCUUGGGAUCCAGGAGGCCCAAGUGACCAGAGCCCUUAUAAUAGAUUCCCCUUUCCUUCUAGUUGGACAGGAAUUUCUGUCACCCAACAAUUCCCUCAAAGCUCAUGUGCGUACUCUGCUGCCAGGUUUACACAGCCACAGCCAUGCCUGCACAUCUUCCUUGCAGUGGCGUUAGAGAAAAACAAACCUGAAAUAUCACUAGGUCAGCCUCCCGAACCUUUUUCUGCUCAUCAGUGAUGUCGCUAGCCAGAGACCUUUGCUUGUAGGCUUCGUGGGUUUCCACUCCAUAACUGCCUGCUCAGUUCAUCUACAGCCACAUUCUUCAAGGAUCCGUUGAAAGACUUGGGUUCCUGGUGUGCAUAGACAAUGAGUACUUUCUUACCUAAAUCAGGAUAAGAAACAGUUCCUCUUGAAGAACAACCCCCAGCUAAUUUUUUGUAUUUUUAGUACAGAUGGGAUUUUGCCAUGUUGGCCAGGCUGGUCUUGAACUCCUGGCCUCAAGUGAUCCACCCGCCUUGGCCUCCCAAAGUGCUUCGCUCUUGUUGCCCAGGCUGGAGCAACGAUCCCAGCUCACUGCAACCUCUGCCUCCCGGGUUCAAGCAAUUCUCCUACCUCAGCCUCCUGAGUAGCUGGGAUUACAGGCAUGCGCCACCACGCCCGGAUAAUUUUUUGUAUUUAAAUACCAAACUUUCUAAUAGGUGGCAGUUUUAAAGCAAUGGGCAUUUUAAAAAUCCAGUUAUUCAUAGCUCAACAUCACAAUACAAUGGGUCAAAUUAUAUCUCCUCAAAAAUACCACCACUAAAUCUUUUAAAAGCCCAACCUAAUUAUUUUCCUCAUUGGAAAGAGUCUCCAGGCUUAUAUACUGACUUCGUCUGGGAGGCAGCCUGGUGAUUUGCUUAAUUAAAUUUACCCUGGUCACCUUUAAGAAGAUGUUAAACUCUUGAUUUAAAUUUUUCAUAAUGACACUUUAAGGAAAAGAUACACGUAUCAGUUUGAAGCAAUGGGUUUCAGGGCAUUGAGCUGGCUACAAAGGUUGAAUUCCAUAAGUUAGAUUCAU